AGAGUUUGAUCAUGGCUCAGAACGAACGCUGGCGGCGUGCUUAACACAUGCAAGUCGAACGUGAAAGUGGACUUCGGUCCGCGAGUAAAGUGGCGCACGGGUGAGUAACACGUGAAUAAUCUGCCCGAUGAAUCGGGAUAACAUUUCAAGGGGAGCUAAUACCGGAUAAGCCCACGAUGACUUCGGUCCUUGAGGGAAAAGGUGGCCUCUCCUUGGAAGCUUCUGUCAUCGGAUGAGUUCGCGGCCCAUUAGCUAGUUGGCGGGGUAACGGCCCACCAAGGCUACGAUGGGUAGCUGGUCUGAGAGGAUGAUCAGCCACACUGGGACUGAGACACGGCCCAGACUCCUACGGGAGGCAGCAGUAAGGAGUCUUGGGCAAUGGACGAAAGCCUGAUGCAGCGAUGCCGCGUGGGUGAGGAAGGCUUUCGGGUCGUAAAGCUCUGUCAGAAGGGAAGAAAUGCUUGUAGGUUAAUACCUUGUAAGCUUGACGGUACCUUCAAAGGAAGCACCGGCUAACUCCGUGCCAGCAGCCGCGGUAAUACGGAGGGUGCAAGCGUUGUUCGGAAUCACUGGGCGUAAAGGGCGCGUAGGCGGCCAAGCAAGUCAGAUGUGAAAGCCCACGGCUCAACCGUGGAAGUGCAUUUGAAACUGCUUGGCUUGAGUAUCAGAGGGGAAAGUGGAAUUCCCGGUGUAGACGAAAAAAAUUAGUGGAUCGUUAUGACUCCCUUUUUCUAAGGGUACUGUCUUUCUGAAUACUUACUCUUAGGCUCUAAAGCGUGGGGAGCAAACAGGAUUAGAUACCCUGGUAGUCCACGCCGUAAACGAUGUCAACUAGGUGCAGGGGGUGUUGAUCCCCUCUGUGUCGCAGCUAACGCAUUAAGUUGACCGCCUGGGGAGUACGGUCGCAAGAUUAAAACUCAAAGGAAUUGACGGGGGCCCGCACAAGCGGUGGAGUAUGUGGUUUAAUUCGAUGCAACGCGAAGAACCUUACCUGGUCUUGACAUCCGAAAAAAGACUAGAAAUAGGGAAGUGCUCUCUUUGAGAGAAUUUGGUGACAGGUGCUGCAUGGCUGUCGUCAGCUCGUGUCGUGAGAUUUCGGGUUAAGUCCUUCAACGAGCGAAACCCUUGCCGUUAGUUGCUAACAGGUUAAGCUGGGCACUCUAGAGGGACUGCCGGUGUCAAACCGGAGGAAGGUGGGGAUGACGUCAAGUCCUCAUGGCCUUUAUGACCAGGGCUACACACGUACUACAAUGGCAUGUACAAAGGGCAGCGAGCUCGUGAGAGUCAGCGAAUCCCAUAAAGCAUGUCUCAGUCCGGAUUGGAGUCUGCAACUCGACUCCAUGAAGUUGGAAUCGCUAGUAAUCGUGGAUCAGCAUGCCACGGUGAAUACGUUCCCGGGCCUUGUACACACCGCCCGUCACACCACGAAAGUCGGUUGUUCCAGAAGCGGUUGGGCUAACCUCCCCGGCAAGCAGGCUGCCAAGGAAUGGCUGGUAAUUGGGGUGAAGUCGUAACAAGGUAACCGUA
This 1527-nucleotide ribosomal RNA is filed under the name uncultured prokaryote. RNAcentral's name for it is "partial 16S ribosomal RNA". It matches the Rfam family "Bacterial small subunit ribosomal RNA". The record is from RNAcentral.